CAGAGGGUGCAAGCGUUAAUCGGAAUGACUGGGCGUAAAGGGUACGUAGGUGGAAGAUUAAGAAUCAUGUGAAAGUCCUGGGCUCAACCUGGGGAUGGCAUGGUUGACUGGUUUUCUGGAGUACAGUAGAGGUAAGGGGAAUUUCCGGUGUAGCGGUGAAAUGCGUAGAGAUCGGGAGGAACACCUGUGGCGAAGGCGCCUUACUGGGCUGUAACUGACACUGAGGUACGAAAGCGUGGGGAGCAAACAGGAUUAGAUACCCUGGUAGUCCACGCUGUAAACGAUGAGAACUAGAUGAUUGGUGAUGAAUUUCACUGAGUAUCGAAGCUAACGCGCUAAGUUCUCCGCCUGGGGAGUACGGUCGCAAGACUA
This 372-nucleotide ribosomal RNA is filed under the name uncultured organism. Its description in RNAcentral is "bacterial SSU rRNA". It matches the Rfam family "Bacterial small subunit ribosomal RNA", at positions 526 to 896 of the family's 1533-position model. The record is from RNAcentral.